This 789-nucleotide ribosomal RNA is filed under the name uncultured bacterium. RNAcentral's name for it is "bacterial SSU rRNA". It matches the Rfam family "Bacterial small subunit ribosomal RNA", at positions 8 to 796 of the family's 1533-position model. The record is from RNAcentral.
AGAGUUUGAUCAUGGCUCAGAUUGAACGCUGGCGGCAUGCCUUACACAUGCAAGUCGAACGGUAACGCGGGGCAACCUGGCGACGAGUGGCGAACGGGUGAGUAAUGUAUCGGAACGUGCCCAGUAGUGGGGGAUAGCCCGGCGAAAGCCGGAUUAAUACCGCAUACGACCUACGGGUGAAAGGGGGGGAUCGCAAGACCUCUCGCUAUUGGAGCGGCCGAUAUCAGAUUAGGUAGUUGGUGGGGUAAAGGCUUACCAAGCCGACGAUCUGUAGCUGGUCUGAGAGGACGACCAGCCACACUGGGACUGAGACACGGCCCAGACUCCUACGGGAGGCAGCAGUGGGGAAUUUUGGACAAUGGGCGCAAGCCUGAUCCAGCCAUGCCGCGUGCGGGAAGAAGGCCUUCGGGUUGUAAACCGCUUUUGUCAGGGAAGAAAUCUUUCGGGUUAAUACCCUGGAGGGAUGACGGUACCUGAAGAAUAAGCACCGGCUAACUACGUGCCAGCAGCCGCGGUAAUACGUAGGGUGCAAGCGUUAAUCGGAAUUACUGGGCGUAAAGCGUGCGCAGGCGGUUGUGUAAGACAGAUGUGAAAUCCCCGGGCUCAACCUGGGAACUGCAUUUGUGACUGCACAGCUGGAGUGCGGCAGAGGGGGAUGGAAUUCCGCGUAGCAGUGAAAUGCGUAGAUAUGCGGAGGAACACCGAUGGCGAAGGCAAUCCCCUGGGCCUGCACUGACGCUCAUGCACGAAAGCGUGGGGAGCAAACAGGAUUAGAUACCCUAGUAGUCC